RNAcentral lists this ribosomal RNA (549 nucleotides) under uncultured archaeon. RNAcentral describes it as "bacterial SSU rRNA". It matches the Rfam family "Archaeal small subunit ribosomal RNA", at positions 326 to 877 of the family's 1478-position model. The record is from RNAcentral.
CGGGGUGCACCAGGCGCGAAAACUUCGCAAUGCACGAAAGUGCGACGAGGCUACUUCGAGUGCCGUCCGCUGAGGAUGGCUUUUGCCAAGUCUAAAUAGCUUGGAGAAUAAGGGGAGGGCAAGUCUGGUGUCAGCCGCCGCGGUAAUACCAGCUCCCCGAGUGGUCGGGAUGAUUAUUGGGCCUAAAGCAUCCGUAGCCGGUUCCGUAGGUCUCCUGUUAAAUUCAACGGCUCAACCGUUGAGCUGCAGGAGAUACCGCGGGGCUAGGAGGCGGGAGAGGCGGACGGUACUCCGUGGGUAGGGGUAAAAUCCUCUGAUCCUCGGAAGACCACCAGUGGCGAAGGCGGUCCGCCAGAACGCGCUCGACGGUGAGGGAUGAAAGCUGGGGGAGCGAACCGGAUUAGAUACCCGGGUAGUCCCAGCUGUAAACGAUGCGAGCUAGGUGAUAGAAUGAUUUCGUAUCAUUCUAGUGCCGCAGGGAAGCCGUUAAGCUCGCCGCCUGGGGAGUACGGUCGCAAGACUGAAACUUAAAGGAAUUGGCGGGGGAGC